GACGAACGCUGGCGGCGUGCUUAACACAUGCCAGUCGAACGGGAAGGCCCUGCUUUUGUGGGGUGCUCGAGUGGCGAACGGGUGAGUAACACGUGAGUAACCUGCCCUUGACUUUGGGAUAACUUCAGGAAACUGGGGCUAAUACCGGAUAGGAGCUCCUGCUGCAUGGUGGGGGUUGGAAAGUUUCGGCGGUUGGGGAUGGACUCGCGGCUUAUCAGCUUGUUGGUGGGGUAGUGGCUUACCAAGGCUUUGACGGGUAGCCGGCCUGAGAGGGUGACCGGCCACAUUGGGACUGAGAUACGGCCCAGACUCCUACGGGAGGCAGCAGUGGGGAAUAUUGCACAAUGGGCGGAAGCCUGAUGCAGCAACGCCGCGUGCGGGAUGACGGCCUUCGGGUUGUAAACCGCUUUCGCCUGUGACGAAGCGUGAGUGACGGUAAUGGGUAAAGAAGCACCGGCUAACUACGUG
RNAcentral lists this ribosomal RNA (468 nucleotides) under uncultured bacterium. RNAcentral describes it as "partial 16S ribosomal RNA". It matches the Rfam family "Bacterial small subunit ribosomal RNA", at positions 28 to 507 of the family's 1533-position model. The record is from RNAcentral.